AUUGAACGCUGGCGGAAUGCUUUACACAUGCAAGUCGAACGGCAGCACGGACUUCGGUCUGGUGGCAAGUGGCGAACGGGUGAGUAAUGUAUCGGAACGUGCCCAGUCGUGGGGGAUAACGUAGUGAAAAUUACGCUAAUACCGCAUACGAUCUAUGGAUGAAAGCGGGGGAUCGCAAGACCUCGCGCGAUUGGAGCGGCCGAGAUCAGAUUAGGUAGUUGGUGGGGUAAAGGCCCACCAAGCCAACGAUCUGUAGCCGGUCUGAGAGGACGACCAGCCACACUAGAACUGAGACACGGUCAAAGCGCCUACGGGAGGCAGCAGUGGGGAAUUUUGGACAAUGGUCGAAAGCCUGAUCCAGCCAUUCCGCGUGCAGGAUGAAGGCCCUCGGGUUGUAAACUGCUUUUGUACAGAACGAAAAGGUUUCUACUAAUACUAGGAGCUCAUGACGGUACUGUAAGAAUAAGCACCGGCUAACUACGUGCCAGCAGCCGCCGUAA
Molecule: ribosomal RNA, 500 nt
Filed under: uncultured bacterium
Lineage: Bacteria
Description: partial 16S ribosomal RNA
Rfam family: Bacterial small subunit ribosomal RNA
Source: RNAcentral